AAAAAGGUAAGCUAAAUAAAGCUAAUGGGUUCAUAUCCCAUUAAUGGAGACAUAAACUCCCCUUUUUA
RNAcentral lists this transfer RNA (68 nucleotides) under Oedipoda caerulescens. RNAcentral describes it as "tRNA-Met". Lineage: Eukaryota; Metazoa; Arthropoda; Insecta; Orthoptera; Acrididae. The record is from RNAcentral.